This 162-nucleotide unclassified non-coding RNA is filed under the name rhizosphere metagenome. RNAcentral's name for it is "partial ribosomal RNA internal transcribed spacer region". The record is from RNAcentral.
AAUGCCCUCUGACUUCGGUCAGCUGGGUUCAAUGUGUGUCAACUCUUCGGAGUUGGCCAUCCACACACACCGUGAACUGUGACUUCGGUCAUCACAAACUUUUAGUAAUGAAUGUAAUAUCAUAACAAAAACAAAACUUUUAACAACGGAUCUCUUGGCUCU